RNAcentral lists this long non-coding RNA (1571 nucleotides) under Triticum aestivum (bread wheat). Its description in RNAcentral is "long non-coding RNA (TAES_LNC014871)". Lineage: Eukaryota; Viridiplantae; Streptophyta; Magnoliopsida; Poales; Poaceae. The record is from RNAcentral.
CAAAUCAUACACUGUAAUUUGAACUACAGAUUAGACUGAUGCAUCAAAUAUUAUGUACAUCUAAAGUAUGAAUUGUUCUCCUUUUAAGAUAUCCAUGAACAUUCAGUAGACAUUUUAGUUCCAUUGCCCACGACCAAUUGCCAAUCAUGAACCCUAAGAAACGGGAUCAAGGAGUCAAUAUUGAACGUCAAAAUCGAAAGAAGAAAUAUUAUGGUACAUACAUGUAGCUCUGGGGACCUCGGUACCUCUCCCUAGUGCACUGCGGCGUCACAUGAAGCCACCCAGCAGCCAACAAACCAGAUUGAUCUGUCAAAAGUAGAUUCCAAAUCAGCAUCCCCUGUAAAUCAAACAGGGGUUUCUUCCAUAGAGUGUAUAUGUCACAGCACCGCAACAGUACACACUCCCCAAUGUUAGUAGCAGAAUCCCGUGCAUCCAUAUUUUGCAGAGGCGGCGAGGUGCUCAUCCACGACUAGCUGUCGAUGGCAUCCAGUGCAUGGCUGUGUCCAUGGCAAGUUGUUCCGACGACCACGCGAUAGCAACAUCCUUUUCUCCUUCCCUGACUUCUCUUGGGCCCCAUCAUCAGUGGACGGUGAGAAGGACCAACACAUUCACGGCCUAGCUGCAGAACUUGAGGUCAUGGCCAAAAGAGCUUGCAGGGAACCAGGAGAGCACGCAUAUUAUAGACCUGGGAACACAAAAAUCCAUAACUUAAUUCUUAUAGCAUGUAAAAUAUCUUUGCUUGGUUGUAGCUUUGACCAAAUCACCAGAAGAAUGGGCACCAGAUUGCCGCAUGAGUGCAGAUUAGCAUUUAUUUUAAGUGCCAUUAUGAUGGCCUUUGAAGGUAUGCUUUGUUUGGAUUUCAGUUUGAGAAUUCUACAAAAUAACUACAAAAAAACUAUCUUAAAUACCAUUGUUAUCCCUUAAAAAAAUCUCAGUGUAAUGAAAAUCUACUCCCUCCGUUCCUAAAUAUUUGUCUUUCUAGAGAUUUCAACAAGUGACUAUAUACGGAGCAAAAUGAGUGAAUCUUCACUCUAAAAUAUGACUAUAUACAUCCGUAUGUGGUAGUCCAUUUGAAAUAUCUAAAAAGAUAAAUAUUUAGGAACAAAGGGAGUAUAUAAGAAAAGCUAUGCAUCUAGGAACAUGCACAUCCCUUCUGAAUAAUCAUUAGAUCACUACACUCUUAACAUAAGGAUGUAAGUGCACAGAGAGGACAUGAUCAGCAAUGGAAAAGGCAAAUUUGCAGAUAGUAAAUAACCUUCUAUAGUUAGAUUAUAUACACUAAGAGAAUAUGGAACAAAAUGAUUCACAAAAUGUACAAAAACUUAACUCUACAGCCUCCAGUGCAUGCUAUAAAAAACUUAAAAUCCCUAUGUUCUCUUUGUGAAAAUGCCCGUGCGUUGUAGUAGUCCAUCUAGGAAAAGAAUAUGUCCUGCACUCUGUCAGCUUCCUGCAGAAGUACGAGCAAGAGAUGGGCGAUGCGAUGGAAAAGAAGAGUUCAGAGAAGGGAAAGGAACAACUAUCCCCGUCGUUUACCACAUAAAUACCUCCUUCACUGCCACCCAUACAGUGGA